This 466-nucleotide ribosomal RNA is filed under the name Vreelandella stevensii. RNAcentral's name for it is "partial 16S ribosomal RNA". It matches the Rfam family "Bacterial small subunit ribosomal RNA", at positions 338 to 795 of the family's 1533-position model. Lineage: Bacteria; Pseudomonadati; Pseudomonadota; Gammaproteobacteria; Oceanospirillales; Halomonadaceae. The record is from RNAcentral.
CCUACGGGGAGCUGCAGUGGGGAAUAUUGGACAAUGGGCGAAAGCCUGAUCCAGCCAUGCCGCGUGUGUGAAGAAGGCCUUCGGGUUGUAAAGCACUUUCAGUGGGGAAGAAAGCCUUGGGGCUAAUACCCUCGAGGAAGGACAUCACCCACAGAAGAAGCACCGGCUAACUCCGUGCACAGCAGCCGCGGUAAUACGGAGGGUGCGAGCGUUAAUCGGAAUUACUGGGCGUAAAGCGCGCGUAGGCGGUCUGAUAAGCCGGUUGUGAAAGCCCCGGGCUCAACCUGGGAACGGCAUCCGGAACUGUCAGGCUAGAGUGCAGGAGAGGAAGGUAGAAUUCCCGGUGUAGCGGUGAAAUGCGUAGAGAUCGGGAGGAAUACCAGUGGCGAAGGCGGCCUUCUGGACUGACACUGACGCUGAGGUGCGAAAGCGUGGGUAGCAAACAGGAUUAGAUACCCGAGUAGUC